AUCUUUUUAGUAUAUACAAUAUAUUUGAUUUCCAAUCAAGAGAUCUAUAAUUUAAUCAUAGAAAAGAUA
This 69-nucleotide transfer RNA is filed under the name Aponsila sp. FS-2019. Its description in RNAcentral is "tRNA-Gly". The record is from RNAcentral. Lineage: Eukaryota; Metazoa; Arthropoda; Insecta; Hemiptera; Plataspidae.